Molecule: ribosomal RNA, 511 nt
Filed under: uncultured bacterium
Lineage: Bacteria
Description: partial 16S ribosomal RNA
Rfam family: Bacterial small subunit ribosomal RNA
Source: RNAcentral
GACGAACGCUGGCGGCGUGCCUAAUACAUGCAAGUCGAGCGAAUCAAUGGGAGCUUGCUCCCUGAGAUUAGCGGCGGACGGGUGAGUAACACGUGGGUAACCUGCCUGUAAGACUGGGACAACUUCGGGAAACCGGUGCUAAUACCGGAUACGUUCUUUUCUCGCAUGAGAAGAGAUGGAAAGAUGGUUCUGCUAUCACUUACAGAUGGACCCGCGGCGCAUUAGCUAGUUGGUGUGGUAACGGCUCACCAAGGCGACGAUGCGUAUCCGACCGGAGAGGGGGAUCGGCCACACUGGGACUGAAACACGGCCCAGACUCCUACGGGAGGCAGCAGUAGGGAAUCUUCCGCAAUGGACGAAAGUCGGACGAAGCAACGCCGCGUGAGCGAAGAAGGCCUUCGGGUCGUAAAGCUCUGUUGUUAGGGAAGAACAAGUACGAGAGUAACUGCUCGUACCUUGACGGUACCUAACCAGAAAGCCACGGCUAACUACGUGCCAGCCGCCGCAGUAA